UCCUACGGGGCGCAGCAGUGGGGAAUAUUGCACAAUGGGGGAAACCCUGAUGCAGCGACGCCGCGUGAGCGAAGAAGUACCUCGGUAUGUAAAGCUCUAUCAGCAGGGAAGAAGAUGACGGUACCUGACCAAGAAGCUCCGGCUAAAUACGUGCCAGCAGCCGCGGUAAUACGUAUGGAGCAAGCGUUAUCCGGAUUUACUGGGUGUAAAGGGAGCGCAGGCGGCCUUGCAAGUCUGAUGUGAA
RNAcentral lists this ribosomal RNA (244 nucleotides) under uncultured bacterium. RNAcentral describes it as "partial 16S ribosomal RNA". It matches the Rfam family "Bacterial small subunit ribosomal RNA", at positions 337 to 598 of the family's 1533-position model. The record is from RNAcentral.